This 274-nucleotide ribosomal RNA is filed under the name uncultured bacterium. Its description in RNAcentral is "partial 16S ribosomal RNA". It matches the Rfam family "Bacterial small subunit ribosomal RNA", at positions 523 to 796 of the family's 1533-position model. The record is from RNAcentral.
AUACGGAGGGGGCUAGCGUUGUUCGGAUUUACUGGGCGUAAAGCGCGCGUAGGCGGGCUGGUUAGUUGGGGGUGAAAUCCCAGGGCUUAACCCUGGAACUGCCCUCAAUACUGCCAGUCUUGAGUUCGAGAGAGGUAAGUGGAAUUCCUAGUGUAGAGGUGAAAUUCGUAGAUAUUAGGAAGAACACCAGUGGCGAAGGCGGCUUACUGGCUCGAUACUGACGCUGAGGCGCGAAAGCGUGGGGAGCAAACAGGAUUAGAAACCCCAGUAGUCC